RNAcentral lists this ribosomal RNA (253 nucleotides) under uncultured bacterium. RNAcentral's name for it is "partial 16S ribosomal RNA". It matches the Rfam family "Bacterial small subunit ribosomal RNA", at positions 524 to 776 of the family's 1533-position model. The record is from RNAcentral.
UACGUAGGGUGCAAGCGUUAAUCGGAAUUACUGGGCGUAAAGCGUGCGCAGGCGGUAAUGCAAGACAGAUGUGAAAUCCCCGGGCUUAACCUGGGAACUGCAUUUGUGACUGCAUUGCUGGAGUGCGGCAGAGGGGGAUGGAAUUCCGCGUGUAGCAGUGAAAUGCGUAGAUAUGCGGAGGAACACCGAUGGCGAAGGCAAUCCCCUGGGCCUGCACUGACGCUCAUGCACGAAAGCGUGGGGAGCAAACAGG